RNAcentral lists this long non-coding RNA (271 nucleotides) under Capsella rubella. Its description in RNAcentral is "long non-coding RNA (CRUB_LNC003113)". Lineage: Eukaryota; Viridiplantae; Streptophyta; Magnoliopsida; Brassicales; Brassicaceae. The record is from RNAcentral.
GAUGGGGAAUUUUUAUGGAAUUUCCCUAUUUUCAUAGUACGGUCAUAAAAUAUAAUUUUUAUGAAAUAAAAUUAAAAGUUACUGCCAAAAAAUUUAACCAUUAAUAAUUAUUUUAGAUGGUAGCAGUAAGAUUGGAAUUUUUUUUUUUUUGAGAUCGAAGGUAUGAAAAUAACAAAAAGUUAUUUUUUGAGAGUUAAAUCACAAAUGUUAAUUAGUAUAUGUAUUUGUUUUGCAAAAAAAAAACAAAAGUUCAGGUUUAAACGUCCAAAAU